AUUCCCAUUUUAGUACCAUUCAUUCGGUGCACCAAGAAUGACUGGCUAUGCUAAUGGGAGAGAGCAACACUGUCACAGUCUGAAGGAGAGGUUGGCAAUAUCCAUCUCUCCUAUAUGAAGUGGCAAUACAUUUUGAU
Molecule: small nucleolar RNA, 137 nt
Organism: Lepisosteus oculatus (spotted gar)
Lineage: Eukaryota; Metazoa; Chordata; Actinopteri; Semionotiformes; Lepisosteidae
Source: Ensembl